RNAcentral lists this ribosomal RNA (509 nucleotides) under uncultured bacterium. Its description in RNAcentral is "partial 16S ribosomal RNA". It matches the Rfam family "Bacterial small subunit ribosomal RNA", at positions 28 to 523 of the family's 1533-position model. The record is from RNAcentral.
GACGAACGCUGGCGGCGCGCUUAACACAUGCAAGUCGAGCGAGAACCUGGGCUUCGGCCCUGGGGACAGCGGCGAACGGGUGAGUAACACGUGGGUAAUCUGCCCUUGACAUCGGGAUAGCCCGGGGAAACCCGGAUUAAUACCGAAUAGCCUCCGGAGCCUUCGGGCGCCGGAGACAAGGUCGCUUCGGCCUCUGGUCGAGGAUGAGCCCGCGGCGGAUUAGCUUGUUGGCGGGGUAACGGCCCACCAAGGCGACGAUCCGUAGCUGGUCUGAGGGGACGAUCAGCCACACUGGGACUGAGACACGGCCCAGACUCCUACGGGAGGCAGCAGUGGGGAAUCUUGCGCCAAUGCGGGAAACCGUGACGCGGCGACGCCGCGUGGGGGAAGAAGGCCUUCGGGUUGUAAACCUCUUUCAGGAGGGACGAAGCCACUCGGGUGAAUAGCCCAGAGGGUGACGGUACCUCCAGAAGAAGCCCCGGCUAACUACGUGCCAGCCGCCGCAGUAA